This 1529-nucleotide ribosomal RNA is filed under the name Salmonella enterica subsp. enterica serovar Bahrenfeld. Its description in RNAcentral is "bacterial SSU rRNA". It matches the Rfam family "Bacterial small subunit ribosomal RNA". The record is from RNAcentral. Lineage: Bacteria; Pseudomonadati; Pseudomonadota; Gammaproteobacteria; Enterobacterales; Enterobacteriaceae.
AAAUUGAAGAGUUUGAUCAUGGCUCAGAUUGAACGCUGGCGGCAGGCCUAACACAUGCAAGUCGAACGGUAACAGGAAGCAGCUUGCUGCUUUGCUGACGAGUGGCGGACGGGUGAGUAAUGUCUGGGAAACUGCCUGAUGGAGGGGGAUAACUACUGGAAACGGUGGCUAAUACCGCAUAACGUCGCAAGACCAAAGAGGGGGACCUUCGGGCCUCUUGCCAUCAGAUGUGCCCAGAUGGGAUUAGCUUGUUGGUGAGGUAACGGCUCACCAAGGCGACGAUCCCUAGCUGGUCUGAGAGGAUGACCAGCCACACUGGAACUGAGACACGGUCCAGACUCCUACGGGAGGCAGCAGUGGGGAAUAUUGCACAAUGGGCGCAAGCCUGAUGCAGCCAUGCCGCGUGUAUGAAGAAGGCCUUCGGGUUGUAAAGUACUUUCAGCGGGGAGGAAGGUGUUGUGGUUAAUAACCGCAGCAAUUGACGUUACCCGCAGAAGAAGCACCGGCUAACUCCGUGCCAGCAGCCGCGGUAAUACGGAGGGUGCAAGCGUUAAUCGGAAUUACUGGGCGUAAAGCGCACGCAGGCGGUCUGUCAAGUCGGAUGUGAAAUCCCCGGGCUCAACCUGGGAACUGCAUUCGAAACUGGCAGGCUUGAGUCUUGUAGAGGGGGGUAGAAUUCCAGGUGUAGCGGUGAAAUGCGUAGAGAUCUGGAGGAAUACCGGUGGCGAAGGCGGCCCCCUGGACAAAGACUGACGCUCAGGUGCGAAAGCGUGGGGAGCAAACAGGAUUAGAUACCCUGGUAGUCCACGCCGUAAACGAUGUCUACUUGGAGGUUGUGCCCUUGAGGCGUGGCUUCCGGAGCUAACGCGUUAAGUAGACCGCCUGGGGAGUACGGCCGCAAGGUUAAAACUCAAAUGAAUUGACGGGGGCCCGCACAAGCGGUGGAGCAUGUGGUUUAAUUCGAUGCAACGCGAAGAACCUUACCUGGUCUUGACAUCCACAGAACUUUCCAGAGAUGGAUUGGUGCCUUCGGGAACUGUGAGACAGGUGCUGCAUGGCUGUCGUCAGCUCGUGUUGUGAAAUGUUGGGUUAAGUCCCGCAACGAGCGCAACCCUUAUCCUUUGUUGCCAGCGGUCCGGCCGGGAACUCAAAGGAGACUGCCAGUGAUAAACUGGAGGAAGGUGGGGAUGACGUCAAGUCAUCAUGGCCCUUACGACCAGGGCUACACACGUGCUACAAUGGCGCAUACAAAGAGAAGCGACCUCGCGAGAGCAAGCGGACCUCAUAAAGUGCGUCGUAGUCCGGAUUGGAGUCUGCAACUCGACUCCAUGAAGUCGGAAUCGCUAGUAAUCGUGGAUCAGAAUGCCACGGUGAAUACGUUCCCGGGCCUUGUACACACCGCCCGUCACACCAUGGGAGUGGGUUGCAAAAGAAGUAGGUAGCUUAACCUUCGGGAGGGCGCUUACCACUUUGUGAUUCAUGACUGGGGUGAAGUCGUAACAAGGUAACCGUAGGGGAACCUGCGGUUG